UCCCAGUUCGGAUCGCAGGCUGCAACCCGCCUGCGUGAAGUUGGAAUCGCUAGUAAUCGCGGAUCAGCAUGCCGCGGUGAAUACGUUCCCGGGCCUUGUACACACCGCCCGUCACACCAUGAGAGUCGGGAACACCCGAAGUCCGUAGCCUGACCGCAAGGGGGCGCGGCCGAAGGUGGGUUCGAUAAUUGGGGUGAAGUCGUAACAAGGUAAC
This 214-nucleotide ribosomal RNA is filed under the name uncultured bacterium. RNAcentral's name for it is "partial 16S ribosomal RNA". It matches the Rfam family "Bacterial small subunit ribosomal RNA", at positions 1286 to 1500 of the family's 1533-position model. The record is from RNAcentral.